RNAcentral lists this long non-coding RNA (685 nucleotides) under Chlamydomonas reinhardtii. RNAcentral's name for it is "long non-coding RNA (CREI_LNC001278)". The record is from RNAcentral. Lineage: Eukaryota; Viridiplantae; Chlorophyta; Chlorophyceae; Chlamydomonadales; Chlamydomonadaceae.
CAGCAACACCGCGCACACCCGCGCCGUGAGCGAUGGAGUCCAGUCCGAGGGCGCCAUGGCUCCGAGCUGCUGCCGUGGCUCCCACUGCUGCUAAGCCGCUAGCACCACGAUCCUACUGUCCGCCUGCUUAAUCCUUCUUCUGCUGCUGCUGGUCGCGGUUGGGGAACCGGCGAGGCGGCUCCCGGUUCCGGCGCUCCUUGGCGUUGCGGACGCGCACAACGCGGCUGUGGAUAGCAGCGCUGAUGCUGUAGUACACCUUGCGGUAAAUCUUGGGCAGGGCGUAGUCUGUGGGCAGGGAUUGCGCCGGCAGAAGCCUCAAGACGGCGGACAAACACGCCCUCGCGCUAAAAUGAGCACACUCGGUCCUCAUCCACUUCAUUUCAUAUUGUCAUGACCUAUUGCUAUCCCAAGCCAGCCCAACUGGAGGCCGUCGCCCAGGCUCGAUCCCCAGCGCCCACAGCCGUCCCUCCGCCGACUCACUGUCGACGACGCAAGCCUCCUGCAUGUCGCGGAGAGCCGACGCGUCCACAAUGUUGCGCACAAUGUAGCGCUUGAUAGCCUUGUCCUUGGGCACCAUGGCGCCGCUAGACUCGCAGCGCACACGGUUCACAUGGCCGCGGCCGUGCUUGGCGCGUCCCCGAUUCCGCCGCUUCUUCGUCAUGGUUGCUAGCUUUGCAGAGAGAGG